RNAcentral lists this non-coding RNA (146 nucleotides) under Marinomonas mediterranea. Its description in RNAcentral is "FMN sequence". It matches the Rfam family "FMN riboswitch aptamer (RFN element)". Rfam says of the family: The RFN element is a highly conserved domain that is found frequently in the 5'-untranslated regions of prokaryotic mRNAs that encode for flavin mononucleotide (FMN) biosynthesis and transport proteins. This element is a metabolite-dependent riboswitch that directly binds FMN in the absence of proteins. In Bacillus subtilis, the riboswitch most likely controls gene expression by causing premature transcription termination within the 5' untranslated region of the ribDEAHT operon and precluding access to the ribosome-binding site of ypaA mRNA. Lineage: Bacteria; Pseudomonadati; Pseudomonadota; Gammaproteobacteria; Oceanospirillales; Oceanospirillaceae. RNAcentral also lists the same sequence under 1 other name. The record is from RNAcentral.
AUUCGUUCUCGGGGCGGGGUGAAACUCCCCACCGGCGGUAAGAACUAACAGUUCAAGCCCGCGAGCGCUUUCGAAAAUUCGAAAGGUCAGCAGAUCUGGUGUGAAUCCAGAGCCGACGGUUAUAGUCCGGAUGAUAGAGAAUGGGU